UAUUGCACCCUGUCCUGUAUGUGCUUUAAAUUAUUUACAUUGUAUUCUUGACAGUCCUGGAAGGCAAAGUUAUUCCCAUUUCACACGAAGAACCUGAGGGACAGAGGUGAUCAGUGCCCUCUCCUGAGAUACCAAAAGCUGGAAUGACCAUUGUUCUGAUCGAUCCUAGAGCAGCUGGAGGCUUGGCUUCAUCCUUUUCAUCACUGUCCCUCGAGUGUGUCUUGUUGGUUACAUGGGACUUAGUAAUGAAACUGCACAUGGGCUUUAUGCCUUUAACAUCACCAAGGUUCUUUCUAAGGCAAUGAUAAUAUAUUACUUGUGUCGGAAUGUGAAAUGAUAUUCUGGGAGACUGUCAAUGAAGACUCGAGAAAAGCCUUUGAGGAAGACUACAAAGAAGGAUGUAGCAAUACUGUAUAGCAGAACGUUUACUGGCCGUGUGACACUGAACUGAAGCAAGCUUGCCGAUGGCAUCCCUCCUGUCCUUAUGAAUUACUAGAGAAACACUUGUACCACACCAGUGCCUGCAUCCCCAUCUCUCCUGGUGUUUGUGAAUGGAGAUUUAUAAAUGAGUCUAUGCAAUAUAUCUCUCUGAUACUUCCACUUUCUAUGUUACAAGACUUUCACAGAGAAUGGAUCGCUCUAAAAGUAUGAGACACUGCUGAAUAACAGUACACUCAUAAAGCCCAUGAAGCACUCCAAGUACUUCAGAUAUUGUCUUUUAUUGUGCCCUUCAUGGACUGUCUCUUGAUCUGGCUGCUGCAAUGAGGAGUGUGCAACUUCUGUCAUGAUGCAUACACAUAUACUCUUAUCAUGUGCACAUAUUUUCUUGUGUAGUUUAUGUAAAACAUUUCAAAUAUCAAUAAACUUCAA
Trichechus manatus latirostris (Florida manatee) is the source of this 870-nucleotide long non-coding RNA. RefSeq lists it as uncharacterized. The record is from RefSeq and is a predicted model, not a curated record. NCBI's taxonomy places the organism in Eukaryota, Metazoa, Chordata, Mammalia, Sirenia, Trichechidae. The transcript is spliced from 4 exons.